UACGGAGACCUCGAGCGUUACUCGGAUUCACUGGGCGUAAAGGGUGCGAAGGCGGACAGGUGUGUCAGGUGUGAAAUCUCGGGGCUUAACUCCGAAACUGCGCCUGAAACUAUCUGUCUAGAGACUCGGAGGGGUAAGCGGAAUUCCAGGUGUAGCGGUGAAAUGCGUAGAUAUCUGGAGGAACACCAAAGGCGAAGGCAGCUUACUGGACGAGAUCUGACGCUAAAGUACGAAAGCGUGGGGAGCAAAAGGG
RNAcentral lists this ribosomal RNA (253 nucleotides) under uncultured bacterium. RNAcentral's name for it is "partial 16S ribosomal RNA". It matches the Rfam family "Bacterial small subunit ribosomal RNA", at positions 524 to 776 of the family's 1533-position model. The record is from RNAcentral.